AUUACGCCGUUAACGGAUGUGCACUUCUAUAUAUUAACACAAGAACUGUUGCACACCCGUUACAUUGGUGCCGUGACCUUUCAAGGAUUGGUUUAAAGGACGACAUCACCUCGUUCGCCGAGGAAGCUGCUGCCACUGGCCCUUUGUGGUACUGAGCUUUAAGAGAAGUCCGUGUUUUGUGACGUGGGUGUGGCGCCAAAGCUCAGAAGGCUUUUUACUGUCUGAGCGGAGGAGGGAAUGUUGGUCCCGACUACGACCGUUUAUACUAUUGACACGUUGGUUUCUUUGGCUCAUACAGAAGCGAAUAAAUGAGAGAAAGCCAGCCUC
This is a long non-coding RNA of Hypomesus transpacificus, 327 nucleotides long. RefSeq lists it as uncharacterized. The transcript is spliced from 2 exons. NCBI's taxonomy places the organism in Eukaryota, Metazoa, Chordata, Actinopteri, Osmeriformes, Osmeridae. The record is from RefSeq and is a predicted model, not a curated record.